GAUGAACGCUGGCGGCGUGCCUAAUACAUGCAAGUCGAGCGAACGGACGAGAAGCUUGCUUCUCUGAUGUUAGCGGCGGACGGGUGAGUAACACGUGGAUAACCUACCUAUAAGACUGGGAUAACUUCGGGAAACCGUAGCUAAUACCGGAUAAUAUUUUGAACCGCAUGGUUCAAAAGUGAAAGACGGUCUUGCUGUCACUUAUAGAUGGUUCCGCGCUGCAUUAGCUAGUUGGUAAGGUAACGGCUUACCAAGGCAACGAUGCAUAGCCGACCUGAGAGGGUGAUCGGCCACACUGGAACUGAGACACGGUCCAGACUCCUACGGGAGGCAGCAGUAGGGAAUCUUCCACAAUGGGCGAAAGCCUGACGGAGCAACGCCGCGUGAGUGAUGAAGGUCUUCGGAUCGUAAAACUCUGUUAUUAGGGAAGAACAGAUGUGUAAGUAACUGUGCACAUCUUGACGGUACCUAAUCAGAAAGCCACGGCUAACUACGUG
This 497-nucleotide ribosomal RNA is filed under the name uncultured bacterium. Its description in RNAcentral is "partial 16S ribosomal RNA". It matches the Rfam family "Bacterial small subunit ribosomal RNA", at positions 28 to 507 of the family's 1533-position model. The record is from RNAcentral.